AGUGAACGCUGGCGGUAGGCCUAACACAUGCAAGUCGAACGGCAGCACAGUAAGAGCUUGCUCUUACGGGUGGCGAGUGGCGGACGGGUGAGGAAUACAUCGAAAUCUACUUUUUCGUGGGGGAUAACGUAGGGAAACUUACGCUAAUACCGCAUACGACCUACGGGUGAAAGCAGGGGAUCUUCGGACCUUGCGCGAUUGAAUGAGCCGAUGUCGGAUUAGCUAGUUGGCGGGGUAAAGGCCCACCAAGGCGACGAUCCGUAGCUGGUCUGAGAGGAUGAUCAGCCACACUGGAACCGAGACACGGUCCAGACUCCUACGGGAGGCAGCAGUGGGGAAUAUUGGACAAUGGGCGCAAGCCUGAUCCAGCCAUACCGCGUGGGUGAAGAAGGCCUUCGGGUUGUAAAGCCCUUUUGUUGGGAAAGAAAAGCAGCAGGUUAAUACCCCGCUGUUCUGACGGUACCCAAAGAAUAAGCACCGGCUAACUUCGUG
RNAcentral lists this ribosomal RNA (492 nucleotides) under uncultured bacterium. Its description in RNAcentral is "partial 16S ribosomal RNA". It matches the Rfam family "Bacterial small subunit ribosomal RNA", at positions 29 to 507 of the family's 1533-position model. The record is from RNAcentral.